This 1480-nucleotide ribosomal RNA is filed under the name metagenome. RNAcentral describes it as "bacterial SSU rRNA". It matches the Rfam family "Bacterial small subunit ribosomal RNA". The record is from RNAcentral.
AGAGUUUGAUCCUGGCUCAGGAUGAACGCUAGCGGCAGGCCUAACACAUGCAAGUCGAGGGGUAAUCCCGCUUUCGGGCGGGAACGACCGGCGCACGGGUGAGUAACGCGUAUGCAACCUACCUUUAACAGGGGGAUAGCCCGAAGAAAUUCGGAUUAAUACCCCAUAAUACUAUGAAUAAGCAUUUAUUUAUAUUAAAAACUCCGGUGGUUAAAGAUGGGCAUGCGUAACAUUAGAUAGUUGGUGAGGUAACGGCUCACCAAGUCUACGAUGUUUAGGGGGCCUGAGAGGGUGGUCCCCCACACUGGUACUGAGACACGGACCAGACUCCUACGGGAGGCAGCAGUGAGGAAUAUUGCGCAAUGGAGGAAACUCUGACGCAGCCAUGCCGCGUGCAGGAUGACGGCCCUACGGGUUGUAAACUGCUUUUAUACAGGAAGAACUUUCCGCACGUGUGCGGGAUUGACGGUACUGUACGAAUAAGCACCGGCUAACUCCGUGCCAGCAGCCGCGGUAAUACGGAGGGUGCAAGCGUUAUCCGGAUUUAUUGGGUUUAAAGGGUGCGUAGGCGGGAUAAUAAGUCAGUGGUGAGAUACUGCAGCUCAACUGUAGAACUGCCAUUGAUACUGUUAUUCUUGAGUUCGAUUGAGGUAGGCGGAAUGUGUAAUGUAGCGGUGAAAUGCUUAGAUAUUACACAGAACACCGAUUGCGUAGGCAGCUUACUAAGUCGACACUGACGCUGAGGCACGAAAGCGUGGGGAGCGAACAGGAUUAGAUACCCUGGUAGUCCACGCUGUAAACUAUGAUCACUAGCUGUUGGCGAUACAUCGUUCAGCGGCAAAGCGAAAGCAUUAAGUGAUCCACCUGGGGAGUACGGUCGCAAGAUUGAAACUCAAAGGAAUUGACGGGGGCCCGCACAAGCGGUGGAACAUGUGGUUUAAUUCGAUGAUACGCGAGGAACCUUACCUGGGCUUAAAUGCAGAUUGACGUUUCGGGAAACCGGAAUUCUCUUCGGAGCGAUUUGCAAGGUGCUGCAUGGUUGUCGUCAGCUCGUGCCGUGAGGUGUCGGGUUAAGUCCCAUAACGAGCGCAACCCCUAUCGUUAGUUGCCAGCGGAUAAUGCCGGGGACUCUAACGAAACUGCCGGUGUAAACCGAGAGGAAGGUGGGGAUGACGUCAAAUCAGCACGGCCCUUAUGUCCAGGGCUACACACGUGUUACAAUGGUCGGUACAGAGGGCAGCUACCUGGUGACAGGAUGCUAAUCUCGAAAGCCGGUCUUAGUUCGGAUCGAAGUCUGCAACUCGACUUCGUGAAGCUGGAAUCGCUAGUAAUCGCGUAUCAGCAACGACGCGGUGAAUACGUUCCCGGGCCUUGUACACACCGCCCGUCAAGCCAUGGAAGCUGGGGGUACCUGAAGUCUGUAACCGCAAGGAGCGGCCUAGGGUAAAACUAGUGACUGGGGCUAAGUCGGAACAAGGUA